RNAcentral lists this ribosomal RNA (460 nucleotides) under uncultured bacterium. RNAcentral describes it as "partial 16S ribosomal RNA". It matches the Rfam family "Bacterial small subunit ribosomal RNA", at positions 338 to 795 of the family's 1533-position model. The record is from RNAcentral.
CCUACGGGGGGCAGCAGUGAGGAAUAUUGGUCAAUGGGCUUACGCCUGAACCAGCCAAGUCGCGUGAGGGAAGACUGCCCUAUGGGUUGUAAACCUCUUUUGUCAGGGAGCAAUUGGCGCUACGUGUUGCGUUAUCGAGAGUACCUGAAGAAAAAGCAUCGGCUAACUCCGUGCCAGCAGCCGCGGUAAUACGGAGGAUGUGAGCUUUAUCCGGAUUUUUUGGGUUUAAAGGGUGCGUAGGCGGAAUGCCAAGUCAGCGGUAAAAUCGCGGGGCUCAACCUCGCUCCGCCGUUGAAACUGGCGUUCUUGAGUGGGCGAGAAGUAUGCGGAAUGCGUGGUGUAGCGGUGAAAUGCAUAGAUAUCACGCAGAACUCCGAUUGCGAAGGCAGCAUACCGGCGCCCAACUGACGCUGAAGCACGAAAGCGUGGGGAUCGAACAGGAUUAGAUACCCCAGUAGUC